UGGGGAAUAUUGCACAAUGGGCGCAAGCCUGAUGCAGCAACGCCGCGUGAGGGAUGACGGCCUUCGGGUUGUAAACCUCUUUUAGCAGGGAAGAAGCGAGAGUGACGGUACCUGCAGAAAAAGCACCGGCUAACUACGU
Molecule: ribosomal RNA, 139 nt
Filed under: uncultured bacterium
Lineage: Bacteria
Description: partial 16S ribosomal RNA
Rfam family: Bacterial small subunit ribosomal RNA
Source: RNAcentral